GUUUGUUAACUGUGUUACGUUCCAGUAGAAAAUUCGAAAAAUGGUGUGCUACUGUCUGCCAACUACCAAGUGUUUUUUUUUCUCGUGUGUUAUGGAAGUAAGGCAGAUCAACUGGAUUAUUUUUCUGGUAUCUUGUCUCAUCUAUGCCAACUGUGAAACCCCAAAACUGUUAGCAACCUAUAGUUGUUGCAUUCCAUUUUGCUAUGAAGUUGCUCACCUAGAGAUUUAGCUCGUGAAACUUGCAUUGCAAAGAAUGAUGACGGGGAAGAAAUGUCACCAAUGAUACAAAUGCUGUGGGAUGGAAUACCAUAAUAUUAUGCUGCUACCCUUAAUACGCUCAUGAUCUUCUGUCAUUUCCACUCUGACUAGUGCAUGAUCAUCAUCAUUUUGUGUAUCCAACUAUAACCACCACCAUUUCAGCAUUCAUCUUACAAUUUCUACUUAGCUGCGAACACACAAACAUAUACGUCAAAAGCAUUUCCUGUGAACUGCCAAGCCUUUGCCUUCAUCUUCAUAACUUCAGGCCCUACAGUCUUUCCAGCAUUUGGACAACAGGCGACUAUGCCUUCUUCCUCAUUCGGAUUCAUCCUCAAUAUUCAAAGUUUUCCCUUCUUCGCUUCAUCGUCGUCCCGUCUUCGCCUCGUCCGUCCAUCGCCUCGUCCGUCCAUCGCCUCGCCCGUCACCCCGCCUUCGCCUCAUCGUUGCCCGCCUCGCCCGUCGCCCCGUCAUCGCCUCGUGGUCGCGCCGUCUUCGCCUCGUGAUCGCGCCUUUUUCGCCUCCCCUAUCUCCCCUUCGUCACCUCGUGGUCGCCUCAUCGUGGUAUUGUUUUGUUUUGUUUCGUAUUAUGUAAUGCUAAUCUAAUUAACUCGUUGGCUGCCACCCACCCACUUUGAUCCCCUUUUUUUUGUAGCUUGACAGGGACGGGCCGCGCUGUUCUGCUCCAUGGUUUAUCUGCCAUGGGGUGGAGCAGCGCCACUGCCCAAGAUUGGCCGAAUGGCCCACAGGCAACGCACCAUAGGGAAUUCCCUUAUUCGAUGCGGCUGAUGAGACCGGGGGUGUGCGUUCCCAGAAAGGUCUCAUCGCCGUGUCAGCCCGGCCUACCCGGCCCCCUUGGUCGCUAUCCCUAGGAUAGCGACAGUAGCGAUUGUAGAAAAUGGUGGCGUGGCAGCCAACGAGUUAGUUGUAUGUAUUUGUGUAUGUAUUGUAUUUUGUAUAGUGUAUUAAAAUGUAUGUAAA
Molecule: long non-coding RNA, 1236 nt
Organism: Daphnia carinata
Lineage: Eukaryota; Metazoa; Arthropoda; Branchiopoda; Diplostraca; Daphniidae
Exons: 4
Source: RefSeq, a predicted model, not a curated record